ACGAACGCUGGCGGCAGGCUUAACACAUGCAAGUCGAGCGAGACCUUCGGGUCUAGCGGCGGACGGGUGAGUAACGCGUGGGAACGUGCCCUUCUCUACGGAAUAGCCCCGGGAAACUGGGAGUAAUACCGUAUACGCCCUUUGGGGAAAGAUUUAUCGGAGAAGGAUCGGCCCGCGUUGGAUUAGGUAGUUGGUGGGGUAAUGGCCCACCAAGCCGACGAUCCAUAGCUGGUUUGAGAGGAUGAUCAGCCACACUGGGACUGAGACACGGCCCAGACUCCUACGGGAGGCAGCAGUGGGGAAUCUUAGACAAUGGGGGCAACCCUGAUCUAGCCAUGCCGCGUGAGUGAUGAAGGCCUUAGGGUUGUAAAGCUCUUUCAGCUGGGAAGAUAAUGACGGUACCAGCAGAAGAAGCCCCGGCUAACUCCGUG
Molecule: ribosomal RNA, 431 nt
Filed under: uncultured bacterium
Lineage: Bacteria
Description: partial 16S ribosomal RNA
Rfam family: Bacterial small subunit ribosomal RNA
Source: RNAcentral